Molecule: transfer RNA, 74 nt
Filed under: Bacteroidetes bacterium 4572_77
Lineage: Bacteria; Pseudomonadati; Bacteroidota
Description: tRNA-Arg
Rfam family: tRNA
About the family: Transfer RNA (tRNA) molecules are approximately 80 nucleotides in length. Their secondary structure includes four short double-helical elements and three loops (D, anti-codon, and T loops).
Source: RNAcentral
GGCCCCAUAGUUCAAUUGGAUAGAAUAUCAGAUUUCGGCUCUGAGGGUUGGGGGUUCGAGUCCUCCUGGGGUCA